AUUUCAACACUUCAAUUGAGUAUUGCAAAACAUUCAGCGUGGGUCCGGACGAGACAGCAAAGGACUGCAUCCGUUCAGCACUCAGCCACCUCGAGAUGCGCGGAUUGGACCCUUCUCAGUUCCAGUUGUGGGC
Long non-coding RNA from Nilaparvata lugens (brown planthopper), 133 nucleotides. RefSeq lists it as uncharacterized. The record is from RefSeq and is a predicted model, not a curated record. The transcript is spliced from 4 exons. Lineage: Eukaryota; Metazoa; Arthropoda; Insecta; Hemiptera; Delphacidae.